This 234-nucleotide ribosomal RNA is filed under the name Triticum aestivum (bread wheat). Its description in RNAcentral is "partial small subunit ribosomal RNA". The record is from RNAcentral. Lineage: Eukaryota; Viridiplantae; Streptophyta; Magnoliopsida; Poales; Poaceae.
AUGAAUAUCCUUGUCUGGAACUUUCGAGGACUGGGGUUGGACUCGACGGUUGGCGAACUGGGAGACCUGAUCAGGUCCUACAACCCAGAGGUGGUGUUCUUAUCAGAAACAAAGAAGAAGGCUCGUGCAAUGGAAAGACUCAAGUGGAGUCUAGGGUUCAGGAGUGGGGUAGCAGUUGACUGCCAGGGCUUGAGUGGAGGUCUUGCGCUGUGGUGGAGAGACAAUGUGCAAGUU